CCUCCACCAACAAGCUUCAGUGCACCUGCCCUACCAAGACCCAGGAGGGAGGGCACGAGUCCUUCCCCCGGCACUGCUGAGCAUAGGUGCCAAAUAGGGACCUUGUGUGACGGCGGCCCUCCUCCUCCACCUGUGGACAGCGUAAGGCACAUUUCCUGCUGGCCCACUCCCUCCAGGUGCCUAGGGCUCAGACCCAGUACAGCCAAUGACUGAUCAUUUAGUCUUCAGGCCUCCCCAAGGCCACUCCACGCCCGGAACAACGGGCUUCCCACCCCUGUCUGAUUCCUGAUCGCUGCCUAACUCCUACAGGUCCUUGCAAAACUCAGCUUCCUGCCCCUUGUCCAGGAACAGUCCUGCUUCCCCAGCUCAGUGAGCAUCCACAACACCCCAUAUGAAAGCCUAACACUCUGCUGACUUGUCUCCUGCCCCCCAACUUCCCAGCCUCGAUGACGUUUGAGCAAAGAACUCAUUCUCAUUCCUCCGUGAUCCCACAGCUCUGGGCCCAGCAUCUGGUCCAUAAGAAAUGGUAGUUGAAGACGAAUCAUCAACCUAAAUGUGAAGCCCAAAUAGAACUAGAAAAAUACCCGAGGCAAACAGGAGAAAAUCUUUGUGAUCUUGAGUUUGGCAAAGAUCUCUUACAUGGACCAAAAGCAUGGUCCAUAAGAUAGAACAUUUAAAAAAAAAAAAAAAAAAAAAAAAAAAAAAACACUGAUAAGUUAGACUACACUGCAAUUUAAAACUUCUCUUCAAAAGACAUUAUCAAGGACAUAAAAAGACAAGCCACAGAUUGGAAGAAAAGCAUCUGGAAAACACGAAACUGGUAAAGGGCUUGCUUCCUGACUUUAUACAGAAUUCACCCAACUCAACGGCAACUCCGUAACUCAACUCCGUAAAAGAUGGUCAAAGAUUCAACACUUUGCCAACGAGGAUAUUCUCGGGAUGGCAAACGAGCACAUGAAAAGAUGCUCCACGUCAUUAGUCGUGAAGUAAAUGCAAAUUGAAACCACAAGGAGAUACUACUACACGCCUAGGAGAAUGGCUAGAAAAUAAAAUAAAAUAAAACAAUAUCGAGUGCAGGGAUUUGGAGCAACGGGAACUCUCACUCAUUGCCGGUGGAAACGCCAAAACAGAAUAGAAUCUUUGCACAACAGUGCAGCUGUUUCUUAUAAAAUUGAACCUGCGCUAAUACAACCCAGUAAUCCCACUCCUCAGCAUUUAUCCAAGAGAAAUGGACACUCGAGUUCACAUAAACGUUUGUAAUGGGAAUGUUUGUAACAGCGUGAUUCAUAGGCUUGGUUCAUAAGAGCGAAAACUUGAAACCACCGGACUGUCCUUUGAUGGUGAGUGGAUAUCACUGUGGUAUGUCCACGUGCUGAAUGACGUGCAAAAACAACGCAUGAAUUUUAAGUGCAUUGUGCUAAGUGAAAGAGGCCAAACUGAAAAGGCUACACAUUAUAGGAUUCCAUUUAUAUGACAUUCUGAAAAAGGCAAGACCAUAAGGACAGAAAACAGAGCAGUGGUUACCAGGGCUUGGGACCUCAGCCUACAUUCCUCUCCAGCUAGUUGCUCAUCUGUAGCCUUUAUGACAUCUUUUAUAAGAAACCGGUGGAAGUAUAUAAAUGUUUUUCUGAGUUC
Molecule: long non-coding RNA, 1635 nt
Organism: Panthera uncia (snow leopard)
Lineage: Eukaryota; Metazoa; Chordata; Mammalia; Carnivora; Felidae
Exons: 2
Source: RefSeq, a predicted model, not a curated record